GUACACAAAUUCUAGAGUACACCAAAUUCUAGAGUACACCAAAUUCUAGAAUACACCAAAUUCUAGAGUACACCAAAUUCUAGAGUACACCAAAUUCUAGAGUACACCAAAUUCUAGAGUACACCAAAUUCUAGAGUACACCAAAUUCUAGAGUACACCAAAUUCUAAAGUUCACCAAAUUCUAGAGUACACCAAAUUCCUGAUACUCAAACGAAGGGAAUUUUUACUCUCGUGAUUGUAACAUUAUAUAAGAGAAGGAAUUAUAUGAGCAUGAGCUGAAUAUCCUUGUUGAAGCCCUGUCAACUACACUAGAAUCAAACCAUACCACGGGCGGGAUUUGAACCCGCGGUCAGAGAGUCUCAAAACUCCAGACCGUCGCGUUAGCCACUGGGUUCAAAUCCCGCCCGUGGUAUGUUUUGUUUGCAAUCGUGUCAUUACGAUUUCGUGAGACACUAGAAUCAUUAAGGAAGGUGCAUUACAACCUUUUUCUCCCACCAGACAAAAUUACUUUAAUCCCCAAAAUAAGGACUAAAAUGACCCCUUGAGUGUAUAUAUGCUCGGAAUGUAUCCUGUUAUAUGAGAGAGGUUUUAUUAAAGUUAACCCAAAUAACAACAUGUGCCAAGAAAUGAAACUUGUGUUGAUUUAGUUAAAUAUGUUUAUUAUGUACCCCAUACCCAUCCUGUGGGCGGUAGUCAAAAGAUUACAGAGGUACAUAAUGGAUCCAGGGACUGGACUCCAAAGUUAUGAUAGCUGAAUUAGUUACAAAGGUAAUGAACUCCAGGUAGAUCUGGUCACAGUCAUGACAAGUUACAAAGGUAAUGAACCAUCUACACUCCUAUACAUGGUGGAGAGCAAGAACAAUGUUACAAGACAAGCCUAAGAGUCAACCUGGGUAUAUACCCUUGUAUGUUAUUAUGUCUUGGCACACUGGGUAUAUACCCUUGUUGAUAAAUUAGACACAUGUGCAACUCUUGGGUAUCUUCAAUAAAGAUACCCAAGAGUUGCACAUGUGUCUAAUUUAUCAACAUGUCGGUUCUCUGAACCAUUCAUCUACAAAACUAUAUACCCUUGUGUUAUUAUGUCUUGGCAUACUGGGUAUAUACCCUUGUAUGUUAUUAUGUCUUGGCACACUGGGUAUAUACCCUUGUAUGUUAUUAUGUCUUGGCACACAUCUGAUACUAGUUUGCACUCGUAAAAAUUCUUCUCUGGUCAGUCAUCCGUUGCCUCACAUCUCACCUCUUUUUUAAUGUGUUUGCUCACACUAUGUUUCCAAAAACUGGACAGGAUAUAUACACCGGGAGGUGUGUUUCACUCUGUGUAUAUAUGUUGUGAGAUUAAUCCCUAUUUUAGGGAUUAAAAUAUUUUUUGUCUGGUGGUGAGGCUACAUGCAGCCUUAAUGAAUCUAGUGCAGUCGAUAGGCUUUCAACUCUCAUUAACCCAUUUCUAAAGGCUAAUCACAAUUUUUUUUUUUUUGCAAAUAGCAAAAUUAAACAAAAUACAAAGUGAAAAUUACAGAGUGCAGAGAUUAUUAAUAAAAUUAUCCCAAAACUUGAGAUAUCACCAGAGGAUCACUUCAUGUGGAACAUUAGUCAACUUUAGUAUCCUAAAGUUAGCUAAUGUUUAGUGUUACUUAUAUGGACGAAUAACCCUUAAAAAAAUUGACUCACGAAAUCGUAAUCACACGAAUGCAAACCAUACCACGGGCGGGGCUUGAACCCGCGAUCAGAGUCAUAAAACUCCAGACCAACGCACUAGCCAGCUGGCCCAGUGGCUAGAGCGUCGGUCUGGAGUUUUAUAACUCUGAUCGUGGUAUUUUUUUUUUUUAAGAAAUUGUUCGCCACAUAUAAUACUCAAAUUAAUAACAAAUUACUCAAAUUAGUUUAUGAAGCCAUUUUAAAUAGCAUUAUAAACCAAAAUACAGAGAAAUAUUCGAAGACUUGUAGCCCAAUAGACUCCAUAAUUAACAAUUAUGAAGCAAAGUAGAAAAUAACAAACUUCCCUUCAUUAUAAGACAGCAAGAAAAUAGGGACAUAUAAAUUAUGAUCUUAUAAAAAUAACGAAACAUAGUGGAAAUGUUUGGAAAGCGGCAAGUGCAUCACUCAACGAGGCAAUAAACUACACGAGGAGGCUGUUUGACAGAGGCCAUACACAAAAAAGACACCUUGUUUAAUAAGAGCAUAAAAGAGGAACACAACACCAGGCUCAUACUUGGCAGGUGCUUGUUAAACCCAAACCCACCAACAAAAAUAUUCGCCCAACCCAUUAUCAAUGAUACCCAAGGAAUAAACUUUUGACAACCCUGUUAACUCAAGUGCAAAUCCCAUUCAAAUCCAACCCCUCUCAUUCGUGUAUUUAUUAAUGUAGCAACAUAUGGGUAAUUACACACACAUAUACAUCUC
This is a non-coding RNA of Cherax quadricarinatus, 2400 nucleotides long. NCBI's taxonomy places the organism in Eukaryota, Metazoa, Arthropoda, Malacostraca, Decapoda, Parastacidae. The record is from RefSeq and is a predicted model, not a curated record.